Molecule: ribosomal RNA, 450 nt
Filed under: uncultured bacterium
Lineage: Bacteria
Description: partial 16S ribosomal RNA
Rfam family: Bacterial small subunit ribosomal RNA
Source: RNAcentral
GUGGGGAAUCUUCCGCAAUGGACGAAAGUCUGACGGAGCAACGCCGCGUGAGUGAUGAAGGUCUUCGGAUUGUAAAGCUCUGUUAAUCGGGACGAAAGAGCCUACUGUGAAUAAUGCUAGGAAGUGACGGUACCGGAAUAGAAAGCCACGGCUAACUACGUGCCAGCAGCCGCGGUAAUACGUAGGUGGCAAGCGUUGUCCGGAAUUAUUGGGCGUAAAGCGCGCGCAGGCGGAUCUGCCAGUCUGUCUUAAAAGUUCGGGGCUUAACCCCGUGAUGGGAUGGAAACUACAGAUCUAGAGUAUCGGAGAGGAAAGUGGAAUUCCUAGUGUAGCGGUGAAAUGCGUAGAUAUUAGGAAGAACACCAGUGGCGAAGGCGACUUUCUGGACGAAAACUGACGCUGAGGCGCGAAAGCCAGGGGAGCGAACGGGAUUAGAUACCCGUGUAGUCC